AUUCAAUACCCAUUUUAACUUAACAUGCGAGUCUUCGUCUUCGUUCGCCCUCAAUUUUCCUCUUCUCAUCCCUCGAGUCAAUAACCAGAGCUUACAGCGCUACGGAUGGGGAUUCGAAUCCAGAUUCUUGUAAUACAUGAACAACUUCACACUAGUUUCAUAUCAAUUCUACUUUUAGUCAACGAAUUCCAUCAAUUUCUACACUGGUUCCAUCCAAAAAACGAAUUCUCAACUGUUUGUUUGCUAAUUCGACUGAGUUGAUUCAAUUGAUUGGGUUUCCUAUGACGUUCAAUACAACGACAAGUAGAAGUUGUAAGAGGAUAUGCGUGAAAAUUUGGACGAGAAAACAAGGAUCAAGAUUUGGUUAUUGUCGUUUAUAUAAGGAGUGAAAGUGAACGGAGAUGAUUGGAAUUGUUCUAUGUCGUUGUUUUUAGAAGUUAAAUAUGGUUAAAACAUUGAGUUUGUAUCGGAUUUGUGUUGUGUAGGGAAGGACUUUAUUUGGGUAGUCUCCAAAGUGCAGCACUUAUUUGGGUACCCAACCAUCAUCAAUUGCAAGACGCCUUCAAUUACAGAAGAAUAUCGGCCAUGUGCUGCUUUUGUAGGAAAAAGAACAAUAUGUUACAUCAUCCACUGAGUUUGCAAGAGUUUACAUGGACAAUCAGCCUUCCAAAGUAUAUUCUCCAUCAAGUUUUCAUAGUCAAGCACUCAGGGAAGACAUGGGGAAAUUUAGUUAAUAUACCGUUCACGUUCAGCCAAAGUCACACAGACUGUCUGACCUUCCGAAAAAGCUUCAGCCGAAUAUAGCUCGUGCCUUCAUUAAGGUAUUGCAUAAACUUGUUUACCAGAGUUCUCUUCUAUUAGUAUGUGAUUUCUGUAACAUUGAAAUUACUAUACUAUUUAAGCAUAUGCGGCAAAGAUCUGAAAUGUUUCCCUUUAAACGAGUGUAUCUAAUUUCUUAAUACAUGAUACUCCGUUUGGAUAUAUCUCAUUUGCGAGUAACUUGUAUAAGUACUACUUUAAGUUGAAACUGAUCUUGUUGUGUGUUUAGGAUCUGUUAGGAAUUAGGAUUCUUAUUUUAGCAGUUGUAUCAAUAGUAUUUACUUUAUGUUUAAAUACAUACCUUAUCUAAA
Molecule: long non-coding RNA, 1130 nt
Organism: Papaver somniferum (opium poppy)
Lineage: Eukaryota; Viridiplantae; Streptophyta; Magnoliopsida; Ranunculales; Papaveraceae
Exons: 4
Source: RefSeq, a predicted model, not a curated record